RNAcentral lists this ribosomal RNA (253 nucleotides) under uncultured bacterium. Its description in RNAcentral is "partial 16S ribosomal RNA". It matches the Rfam family "Bacterial small subunit ribosomal RNA", at positions 524 to 776 of the family's 1533-position model. The record is from RNAcentral.
UACGAGGGGGGCAAGCGUUGUUCGGAAUUAUUGGGCGUAAAGGGUGCGUAGGCGGGGCUUUAAGUCAGGGGUGAAAUCCUGGAGCUCAACUCCAGAACUGCCUUUGAUACUGAGGAUCUUGAGUUCGGGAGAGGUGAGUGGAACUGCGAGUGUAGAGGUGAAAUUCGUAGAUAUUCGCAAGAACACCAGUGGCGAAGGCGGCUCACUGGCCCGAUACUGACGCUGAGGCACGAAAGCGUGGGGAGCAAACAGG